CUUGAGCUGCUGUUGGCUAUAUGGCAACUUCCCUUCCAAUACCACUCUCUUUCUUCUUCCUCACCUUCAAAAACUCAACCUUGCCUACAAUGACUUUAAUCUUUCCAAAAUUCCAUCCGAGUUCAGUCGGUUUACAAGCCUAUUCUACCUCAACCUUUCUUAUACAGAAUUUGCAGGAGAAGUCCCAUCCCAAGUCUCCCACCUGUCAAAAUUGGUUUCACUUGAUCUCUCCGGUCCGGCUUAUGAAAGAACAAUUGACAAACAUGCUCUGGAGGGACUUGUUCACAACCUAACCGAGGUCAGGCAUCUGUUUUUGGAUGGAAUCAACAUGUCUUCUGUUAAUGCUCAUGUCUUUAUGAAUCUAUCCUCUUCUCUAAGGUCUCUCAGUCUUGCUGGUUGUGGUUUGCAAGGAAAAUUCCCAAAAAACAUUUUUGAUUUGCCAAGCCUCAAUCUCCUCAAUUUGUUAGACAACCAAUUGAGUGGACAAAUUCCAAGAUCACUGGGGAACCACUUGCAACUCACUCAUUUAGACUUGUCGUGGAACCAAUUGAGUGGACAAAUUCCAUUGUCAAUUCUAAACCUAACGCAGCUUGAAUACUUGAGAAUAGCUGGAAAUACAUUAGAAGGUUCCAUUCCAGAUGAGGUAACCGCUUUUCCUAAUCUAAUAUAUUUAGGCUUAUCUGACAAUUUAUUCAAUGGAACACUUCCGUCAUGGUUGUAUACUGCUCCCUCCUUAAAGAGAAUAAUUCUCUCUCAAAAUCAAUUCAGUGGGCAUAUCAAAGAAUUCCAAUCCAAAUCACUAGAAAUGAUAUUGUUAAAGAAUAAUAAACUCCAAGGUCCUCUUCCAUCUUCAAUAUUCCAACUUCUCAAUCUUACCUACCUCUCUUUACCAAAUAAUCUUAGUGGUGUCCGUGUCAUAGAGUUUAGCAUGUUCUCAAACCUUCCAAAUCUCAAAUAUCUUGACCUUUCAUAUAACAGCCUAUCCUUAACAUCUAAUUCUACUUCUAGUGUUAAUCAUAUAUUGCCUAAUCUUACUUUUGUCAUCUUGCAAUCUUAGUGAAUUCCCCCAAUUUUUAAAAGGGCUUAAAAGUUUGGAAAGGUUAGACCUCUCUUGCAACAAAAUUGAAGGCAAGAUUCCACAGUGGAUGCAAGAGGUGGGGAAUGUCUCUUUGACUUACUUAAACGUAUCUCACAACUCUUUGACAGAAGUUGAGUACUUUCCAUGGAAGAAUAUUGAAUUUCUUGACUUAAGCUCCAAUUUGAUCCGUGGAAAUCUUCCGAUUCCAGCUUCGACCAUCAAUGUCUUUUUGAUCUCAAAUAAUAGUUUCACUGGAGAGGUCUCUUCUUUAAUAUGCAAUGCCAGUUCUCUUCAAAUUCUUGAUUUGUCCCACAAUAACUUGAGUGGAACAAUUCCGCAAUGUUUUGGAAAUUUGAGCGACAGCCUUGAAUUCUUGAAUCUGAAGAAGAACAAGUUUUAUGGGACGAUUCCUACAACAUUUGCAAAGGGAUGCCAGUUGACCACUUUCAACUUAAAUGGAAAUUUGUUAGAAGGGCCUUUGACACCAUCCAUCCUUAAUUGUAAUGAUCUGGAAGUGCUAGAUCUUGGUAACAACAAGAUCAAUGAUACAUUUCCUCAUUGGUUGGGAAGUCUUCCACAGCUACAAGUUCUUGUUUUGAAGUCAAAUCAUAUGCAUGGUUCCUUGCGUAUCAAUAGCUCCAAGUCUAUCCCUUUUUUCUCAAAAAUCCAAAUUUUUGAUCUCUCAAGUAAUUAUUUUUCUGGACCCCUACCAGUGAGAUACAUCAACAGCUUCAAGGCUAUCAUAAAUCUAGAGAAGAUUGGUAGUACAGUGUCGUACAUGGGGGUGAAUGAUCCUCGUAGUGGCUUCUAUACCUAUUCCAUUGGAAUUGUUAUGAAAGGACAAUAUAUGGAAUUGGUGAAAAUUUUCACCAUGUGGAUGAUCAUUGAUCUAUCAAACAAUCAGUUUGAAGGGGGUAUUCCAAAGGUUAUUGGGAAGCUUACCUUACUGAAAGGGCUCAACCUUUCUCACAAUAACCUUAAUGGUGGUAUCCCCACCUCAAUAGGGAAUUUGACAAGUCUUGAAUGGUUGGACCUAUCUUCAAACAGGUUGUCUGGGACGAUUCCAAAUAGAUUGGCAGAUCUGCCAUUUCUUUCGUCCUUCAAUGUUUCUGAAAAUAAACUCCAUGGUCAGAUUCCUCAAGGAAAACAAUUCAACACAUUUGGAAAUGAUUCAUAUCAAGGGAAUAAGGGACUAUGUGGGUUUCCGGUCUCGAAAGGUUGCAACAUCAUUGAGCCAGCACCUCCAAAUGUGCUUGAAAAAGAUGGCUCAAAAUCAAACAUUACUUUUGGAUGGAAAGUGGUGUUGAUAGGUUAUGGAUGCGGAGUGGUGUUCGGAAUGUCCGUGGGAUAUGUUGUUUUCAAAACUGGUAAGCCGAAAUGGUUGGUGAAUUUGGUUGAAAUCCAACAUGAGAAGAAGCGAAGAAGAAAGUCAAAGGAUGGCAGUCACAGCAAUGGACGAAGAAGGAUCUAGUUAGUGGAAAUGGUGUUCAAGUGUUGAUGUUGUAUCUUCAUAAUUUCUUGUUUUGAAGUCUUUCAAUUUUUUUCCUAUGGUGAAAGGUUGCAUUGCCAUGCAUCUGUCUUUAUUAUUGGUACUAUUUGUAAGGGUUUGUUUUAAAUGUAACAUUUUAUAUGGUUCAACUAUUUAUGUCUUCUUUCAUGAGUUUCAUUUUUGAGUCUCAAUAAUCUCUGCAUUCAAGAUUUUGUCAGCUUAUUAAUUGGUGGAUCAAUAAUCUUCAUGCUCAUCUCAUCAUCUUUUUCUCGAGUUAAACACAGUCAAUACUAUAACAAUUUCUUCUAUGUGGAAAAUAAUUUGGCAUUCUGCAGAUGUCCACAAUGCUUGUGGAUUACUUUUGGUUGACAGCUAUACAUAUAAAGGAAGGAAACAAGACCAUGUCCAAAUUUCCAAAAAUUAGCCAUUGAUUUUUGAACAGUUAAACUUUCGUAUUCUAUUUUUUAAAAUUGUAAAUUCUCAAAUAAUGUAAAUUAGUCCUAAAACUCAAGUUUUGAAAUCUUUACAAUUUAACCCCUUAUAGUUUCAAACUUUACUAUUUUAUGCUCAACUUUCUAAAUUUUCAUAUUUCAUGAUCAUAUAAUUUAGUUACUACAUCAAUAUUUGAGAUUUCACUACUCAAACCCUUACUUCAUUUUGGUCCUUACUUCAAUUUUAUCAAAUUAAAUCAUUUUUCAAUUUGAAUGCAUUGAUGUGAAAUUGAGGGACCACUAAACAAUGUUGAUGAGAGUUUAGGCAAAAUUGGUGGAUCCGAUCUCCUUAGUUAUUUCUUUGUGGAAGUACCUGCUUUCACAAUGCAAACUUGGAUAGUUUGUGGUGGACGAUGAUGAAUCAUUUCAUAGUCAAACACAUAAUUUUUAAACACAAAAUUAACGAUAUAUUGAAAUCAUUAUUGAAAUUAUAAUCAAAAUUAAUACAUGUUCUUUUUAUUAGCUUAAGGGCGUAAAAACCCUUCAAAAUUUUCAAACAAAAAAAAUUUAAGUCCUUUUUUUUCUACUCAAUUGAGCACUUAAACUUUUAAAAUGUAUCAAAAAUAUCUUUACACUUCUUCAAAAAAAGCAAUUAAACCCCUAUUUUUUUUUCCACUCAAUUGGGUACUUGAACUUUCAUAAUGCAUAAAAAAACCUUAAUUUUUUUUUUCAAAGAAACAAUUAAGCCUCUAUUUUUUUCCCACUCAAUUGGGUACUUGAACUUUCAUAAUGCAUCAAAAAGGCCUUAAUUUUUUUUCAAAAAAGCAAUUAAGCCCUACUCUUAUUAAAAAUUAGAAAAAAAUCAUAAAAAUAAUAAAUUUUAGAAAAAAAUAUUAAAUUUUAAUAAAAUUUAAAAACUUAUUAAUAAUUUGAAUUUUUUUUAGAAAAAUAGUCAAAAAAUAAAAUUUUAUAAAAAUCAUAAAAAAAAUAAAAUCCAUCAAAAGUCCUUUUAAUAAUUAACUUUAACUAUUGAUCGUUAAAGUUAACGACGUCUAGUUUUUCAAUUAAAGUUAUUAUGUGUCGCAACUCAGCUUGAUAUGUAGCGAAAACAGAUAAAAGUAGGGGCUUAAUUGCUUUUUUUAAAAGUUUGAGGGUCUUUUUGAUGCAUUUUGAAAGUUCAAGUACCCAAUUGAGUGCCAAAAAAUAAAGUAGGGGCCUAAUUGCUUUUUUUGAAAAUGUUUGAGGGCCUUUUUGAUGUAUUUUGAAAGUUCAAGUACCCAAAUGAGUGCUUAAAAAGAACAGGGGUUUAGUUGCUAUUUUUGAAAAAGUUUGCACCCUUAAACCUCUUUUGUUUUUCUAAAUUAAAUUUAGAACCAACUUUGAGUAACGACUUGGAAAUUUAAUUAGCAAAAUAUCUUUCCAUGUAAAAAUUUCCCCUAUUUCUUGUUUGAAUCUAAAGCAAUACAAUAUUUUUUUUCCAAAAUUUUCAAAAUUUUCAAAAAAAAAAAUUAAGUCCCUCUUUUUUUUCCACUCAAUUGAGCACUUAAACUUUUAAAAUGUAUCAAAAAUAUCUUUACACUUCUUCAAAAAAAGCAAUUAAACCCCUUUUUUUCCGCUCAAUUGGGUAUUUAAAUUUUUAAUAUUUGAUUUUUUAUUAAAAUUUAAUAAUAUUAUAGAUUUUAUUGAUUUUAAUUUUUUUCUAAUUUGUAAUAAAAGUAGGGGCUUAAUUGUUUUUUUUUUUUUAAGUUUGAGGGUCUUUUUUAUGCAUUUUGAAAGUUCAAGUACCCAAUUGAGUGCCAAAAAAUAAAGACUUGGGAAAUUUAAUUAGCAAAAUUUCUUUCCAUCUAAAAAUUUCCCCUAUUUCUUGUUUGAAUUUAAAGCAAUACAAUAUUUUUCUAGCAAGUAAUAGAAAAUGACAGUCAAUUCAUUCCAAGCAAUACAAAAUUUCCAGUCUGGUGGAAAAUUUGUUUCUUAGAUGCUAUUAUUCAGCUUUUAAGGCAUAAGUUUGAAUAUAGGGACUACAUUUUUAAUGUGUUGUUUAUUUUAAAAUCUAUUAAUAUAUACACACCUAGGGACCAUAUAUAUAUAUAUAUAUAUAUAUAUAUUCCAGUCUGGGUCUUUGUCGUGUUUUGUUGGUUGGCUAUGGCCUUCUUGUUGUUUCAUGGCCACUGCCUGUGAAUUAAGUCAUAUGUGGCCUUGUUUGCUAAGUUAAAGGGAGUGAAUAGAGCACCAUAUUUCUUCUUCUGCGUGGAAAAUAAGUUGGCAUUAUGCCGAAUUCCACAUUCAUACAUAGAAAGGAAGCAAGACCAAGUCAAUAUACCUUGUAAUCUCAUCAAUUCUAAUUAUUUCACUUCUUCUUUCUUUAGGGAGUUCAAGUGAAAUACAAAUUUUUCCACAUCCAAUCUCAUAAAUAAUCCGUCUUUGAACUUUCACAAAAAAAUAUUAAAUACCCAUUCACUUUAAUUCUACUAUUCUUAAAUCAAUAAAGUUUUGUGCAAAAUAAAUGAAUAUAGGCCACACAUGCUUUGAAUUUUUAAGUAGUCCACAAUUUUGUUCGUUUGUGUGCAAAAUUCUACAUUGCUUGACAGCCAUACAUACUAAGUAAAUAGACACCCACAUUGUUUACGUAUUAUGAGGAAGAAGACUAAGUCAAUCUACUUUGUAAUCUCAUCAAUCUUAAUUUUCUCAGUUGUUUAGGGAGUUCAAAUGAAAUACAAAAUUUUGAAAAAAAAAUGUAUCCAAUUUUGUGAAUGAAAAAUUUAUGGUAAAAAGGAUUUGGUAUGGAUACUUUGGCCCGGGUAGCAAUACUCAGGGUAAGUUUAUCAAUACAUUGCUUUUGGUUGGAAAGUGGUGUUGAUAGGUUAUGGAUGCGGGGUAGUGUUUGGAAUGGCCAUGGGAUGUGUUGUUUUCCAAACCGGUAAGGCGAAAAGGUUUGUGAAUUUGGUUGAAGACCAACAUGAGAAGAGGCGAAGAAGAAAGCCAAAAUAUAGCACUCGCAUCAAUGGAUGAAGAAGGAUCUAGUUGGUGCAAAUGAAGUUAAAGCAUUUGUGCUUUGUCUUCAUGAUUUCUUAUCUGAAUAAUCUCUGCAUUCAAGAUUUUGUCGGUAAAAAGCAUAAUUAAAGUCAUUAUGUGUCGCAAUUCAACAUGACAUGUAGCGAAAACAGAUAAAAAAGUAAAAAUCAAUAAAAGUUAUAGAAAAAUUAUAAAAUAUUUCUUUUGGUACAAUAAUUUUUAUAAAUUUUUUUUUACAAAAUUUAUAUUUCUUUACAUUUUGUAUAAUUUUCUUAUGACUAUAAAAUUUUAUAAUUUUUUAUAUUUCUAUAUAUUUUAAAAUUUUUAAAAUUUUUAUAAAAUUUCACAAUUUUUAUAAAAUUUCACAAUUUUUAUAUAUUUUUUAAUAAAUUUUUAAGAUUUGAAUUUUUAUUAAAAUUUAAUAAUAUUAUUGAUUUUAAUUUUUCUCUAAUUUUUAAUAAAAGUAGGGACUUAAUUGGUUUUUUUUAUUAAGUUUGAGGGUGUUUUUGAUGCAUUUUGAAAGUUUAAGUACCCAAUUGAGUGCAAAAAAAAGGAGGGGCUUAAUUGCUUUUUUUGAAAAUGUUUGAGGGCCUUUUUGAUGUAUUUUGAAAGUUCAAGUUCUCAAAUGAGUUUUAAAAAAAAGAACAGGGGUUUAGUUGCUAUUUUUGAAAAAGUUUGAGGGUUUUUUGCACCCUUAAACCUCUUUUCUUUUUCUAAAUUUAAUUUAGAACCAACUUUGAGUAAAGACUUGGGGAAUUGAAUUAGCAAAAUUUCUUUCCAUGAAAAAAUUUUCCCCUAUUUCUUGUCUGAAUUUAAAGCAACACAAUAUUUUUCUAGCAAGUAAUAGAAAAUGACAGUCAAUUAAUUCCAAGCAUUAAUUGACACAAGGGCCUUCAUGGUACUUUUACUCCGAAAGUACGUGGCUUUUCUUUUACACAGGGAUUUGCUUCAAUUUUUUUUGUCAACUCAACAUUCAUUCAUCAACUUUUCUUUUUCAAUUGAACAUUUCAACAUCCCUUAUCCGUCCCGAUGUCUGUAUGGAUAGUAGAUGUUAUUGGAACAUGGAAUUGGUAUUUUGCUUUCCAUGCAGCACCUUCUGAUGGUAAAAUGGCUGAAUACAAAGAAGAUGGGCUUUCCGUUGAUGUCAAAUUACCUGUUAAGCCUGUAUUAUCUAGAGAGCUUCAAGUAUGUGCUACAUCUUCAGCAACAUUUUUAUGUUAAAAUACAUUUUGCACAGAAUGAUAUUAAAAGACUAAUUUGGUUGUCAUGCAGCUUUACUUUGACAAGAUCGUGGACAUUACCAUGAAUAAAUCAGUCUCAGUUCUCUUUCAACAAGCAUUACUGAGUUUGGCAACAGACUCGGGAUUACAUCCUUUAGUUCCUUAUUUUACAUAUUUCAUUGCGGAUGAGGUUGUUUUAAAGAUCUUUCAUACCUCAUUAUAUAUGUGUGUUGCAAAGAACUUUUGGUUGGUUAUCUCAAGCUUACAAUUUUGCCACAUUUUUGAAUAAUUUCCCUCUCAUGUUUGCUUUGAUGCGUGUUGCCCGGAGUCUUCUCCAGAAUGAACACUUACACAUAGAACCUUACGUGAGUUUAUUAUUUCAAUCAUUUAGAAGUACACGAACUAAUGCAAAUAUGCUAGUGGUUAUUUUCCACCUAUCUGAUUUUUUAAAAUGUUCUUCAGUUACACCAGUUGAUGCCAUCUAUUAUUACCUGCCUCGUUGCAAAAAGGUUAGGAAAUAAAUUCACCGACAAUCAUUGGGGACUUAGAAACUUCGCAGCAAAGCUAGUGGCAUCAAUAUGCAAAAGGUGAAGAUUUCUUUUCUUUUGGACUUAUACAUGCAUAUUCUUUUGGACUUAAUUUCGAGCAUAAUGAUUUGUAUAAACUUUCCAAUAGCUUGGAAAGCGAAAAAAAAAACAAAAAAAAGAAGGAAAAAAAAGAAAAAAAGAAGAAAUAAAAAAAGAAAAUAAAAGAAAAAUAAUACUCCUCUGAUAUUAAUGUUAAGAGUGAAAAUUGGGGUUGUACACCGGACAAAGUAACCGGAAUAUGGUGCUUGGGUUGUCAUCAUGUCUCGCGUAAAAAGGUCUGUGUGACUGCCCAAUUUCUUUGCACUCACUCCACUAACUAAGUAUCACGAGUAGGGCGAAAUAACCCGCUUAGAGACAUUUGAAUUGAGUAACCGGAACAUGGUGCUUGGUUUGUCAUCAUGUCUCGCGUCAAAAAAUUUGAAAAUGUCCUAAGUACAAAAAUAAAUAAAAUGAGGGGCACUCUUCCUUAUUUCUUAAGCUAGGUUAAUAUGUAAUGACUAAAUUGUUGAAUUGUGCAAACCAUGGGGGUCAAGUCCUAUUAUGGAGGAAAUUUUUUUCCUUUUGCAGAUACAUGCAUAAUGCUCGAGGACUAGCAUGGACUAAGUAGGGGGAUUUGAUUAAAUGCUAAAGUUACAUAUUUUAUGUAAUUAAAUUGGUUAAUUUAUGAGAGUGCACCACUAAUUUUUCCAUGUUUAUAUUGAAUUUUGUGCAGGGAUGCAAUUUUGGGCUAAAUAGAAAAAAAAGGAAACAAUUGGGCUAGAUUGAAGAAAGAAGCAAAGAAGGAGGGCCAAAGUAGAAUUUUUCCGAAAUUAAUUAGCUGAAAUUUUUGUUGACUUAGUGGGAGAUUAUUUUGGGAUUUAUUUUAUAUCAUGGAAUAUUUUCCCUUGAUUUUCUAUGUUGGUGGCUCUUAAUUUAGUAAGGCCAUUAGUAUAAAUAGAUGCUAUAUUGUUCAUUUUAAGUAUCAAUCAAAAUAUUAAGCUUUCAUCUCUCAAUACAUUUUCUCUUUUCCUGUCACGAAUUCAUUUGCUGCCAUUAGUUUCUUUUCCUUCAAUUUAUUAAAUUUCAGUAGCCAACCACCUUUACUUUCAACUAUUCACGAAUUUAUUUAUUGCCUUUAGUUACCUUUACUUUCAAUUCCUAAAUUUCCAGCUUGUUACCACUUACCAUUUACAACUUCUUUUCCAAAUUCCCUUUUCAUUUCCAGUAGCCAGCCUCCCAUUUUACCUUAUUUUAUCCAAUAACCAACAUGCCCCAAACCUUAGUUAACUAAACCCAUUUUCAGCUUUAGGCCGGAAUUAGCCUCGUCAAAACCCGUGAGUUACGAACCCGAGCAAAUUAACUCCCAAAAUUCUAGUACUUAUUAUUUCUCCGGAUUAAGAGUAUGAUUUUGUCAACUCACAAAGUCAGACUAACAUUAGUCAAAAAAGACGUCGUCUGAUUUAGUGUGGUUAGACGUAUAGUUGGAAUUUCAAAAGGAACGUUUCUAAUCAGUUUUCUGUGAACACAUUGGCGUGCCAAGUGGAGAUUGUUGUUUGGUUCCGUCAAGGGAAGUAGUAAUCGGAUUUAAAUGUCCCACGCGGUUGAGGACAUUGGUUCGAGCUAGGCUCUUCUAGAACACAAAGCUGUUGGAGUUCUAAAUCACGAACGUUUCGUGGUUGUUCGAUCGGUAAGGGUUAGUUAUUGGACGUUCCAUACUAAUUUACACAAUGAAGAGUUGGUGUCCGAGGCGUCCUUGGUAGCUAUAACUAGCUUAUUGGAAAAGAGGAGUUCAUCUAAUUUCGAGGAUCGGUUCAAAGACGAGGAAAAACCCGUGCCUAAAGCUGAGCUUAUUCUAAUUAAUUUUUCUUCAUAUUUAUUUAACUGAUUUUAUUAUUUUAUUUUCAGCCUUUACUUUUCACGCAUUUUUUCCCUGUUUAGUCUAGGUUCCAGAUUUUCAACUUUAUUCUCCCCCCGAACUUCUUGGGCACGACAACUGCCCUGACAAAAAUUUGGUCGAGAAAGAGAAACAAUUCGCAGUAAACCCAGUCUCUGAGGGAUCAACCGUACUCCCUAUACUGCUUAAAUUGCAAAUUAGGCGUAGGUUUAUAUUGGUGGAUUCGACAUCCAUCACUUUUCUUUUGGACUUGUACAUGCAUAUUCGUUGUUAUGAAUUUCAGGUGUCUGAUUUUUUAGUUAUAAACUUGGAUCUAUUCUUCAAAUCAUGUGUAUAUAAUUUUUAUGCUAUUUCACACAUGCAAAACAAAUGGUGCGAGCGUGCAUCUGUAAAGUUUGUCUUUCAUAUGUUUGGCUAAUGCUUCUUCUUCCAUAUGUAGGUUCGUUUACUUAUACUACCAAAUCUUGAAGCGUAUUUGUAGCUUCUUGAACCUGAAAUAAAAAGACACGAGGCCUGGUGUGUUUAUGGGGCCCUGCUGGUAAGUUUAACAUCAAAUUUGGUACCAGUUAAUGAGCAUCGUUUCAUUUAUUUGCUGUAGAACUAACAACACUACAUAAAAUUUCCACUAACAGCGUGUAGCUGGACUGUGCAUGUAUGAUCGGCUUAAAAUGUUCCCCAGUUUGCUAGCACCCCAACUCGUCCCGUCUGGAAAAGUAACAACAAAGUUGCGACAAAUAUGAUUUCUUCGAACCAUCAUAUUUACACUUAAUCCACAAGUCUCUUCUCCCCCUUUACGAUAUUCCUUUUUCUGAUCAAUCAAGAUAAACGAAAAGCAAGCACUGGCACCUUGAUGCAGCAGCAACCACCUGCCAAGAAAAUAGCAACUGAGAGUGCAAUAGGUAUGAUGCCAAUAAAUUCCAUGCAAACUGAUUUACAAGGGGCAGUUAGCGGCUUUUCUACCACCAUAGGAGGUUCCAAUAUUGGUGUAUCAUCAAUGUCACGGCCGUUAUCAAAUGAUAACAUGCUUGGAAGGGAGGUUGGGGGUCGGUUUCAAAGACAUCAACCGUUCUAGCUCAGGCUUGGAAGGAAGACACAGACCCAGGGAACUUGUUAGCAUCAUUAUUUGAACUUUUUGGUGAAAGUAUGUUAUCAUUUACUCCCAAACCUGAACUUUCAUUCUUCCUUUGAUUAAAUUUCACCUCCAAAAGCUAUGGUUUUUGAAGGAAUUUGUGUAAAUUAUCCCCAUAGUUUUUUUCAGUCUUACUGUGUUUAUCUUUAUAAGUCUUCUUUUUUUUUUCCUUGCUCAUAAAUGUAUUGUAGUUAUAAAAAAAUAUAACUUUGGAUUUUAUUUAUAUUAAAUUUUAGGUUAAAUUCUGCUAUUAGUCUCUGUACUUUACGAAAAUAAAAAUGAUAGAUUUAGUCCUUAUACCUUAAUUUGAUCAAUUUUAGUCAUUGUAUUUUUUGAAUAUCAAUUUUAAACCAUUUACUUUUUGAAUUUUGAAAUUUUAGUAUUGAUUCAAAUAAUAUUAAUAAUUAAAUCUGCUUAUUUAAAUUUAAUUAUUAGUUUUGUACUAUAUAGAAAAUUAUAGAUUUAAUCCAUAUUUUUCAAUUGGGUCAUUCCAAGUCUUUAUACUUUUUAAAUUUUGAAAUUUUAAUAUUGAUGCAGAAUGCGAGUUGAUAUUAAUUAAUUAAUUUUUUUAGCAAGUAUAUGUAGAAAUAAUAAGUUGGUAUGUCAUUAUACUUAAAAUAAUAUAUUGUCUUAACCCACCUAAAUUAUCUCUUUUUCCAUCUGGGGACCUAAAUUUUUUUGGGGUCAUAAGUGGUACCUAAACUACUUUUUUUCUCCUUCAAAUUAGUAUCUUCAUUAGUUAAACCGUUAAAAAAAAAAGACUCGAGCAACAAAUUAAUUCCUAAACAAUGCUCUUUUUCCCAAGGUGCCUAAUUUUUAUUUUGGUCAUAAGUACUACUAAAACCAUUCUUCCGUUACUCAUUUUACACCAAAAUAUUAUAUCGGCUAAAAAGAUUCUAACAAAUAAUAGAUUGUAUGUCAUAUAAACUUUUAAAAAUAAUUAUUAAUUAAUUAAUUUUUUAUAUAUUUCUUUCUUAUUCCUUUAUAAUGUUUGACAAUGCCGAUAAUGUUUGAAAUUGGCCCAGUUGAGGUCAAAAGGUUGGCGAUUAAUUUUGGUUUUGAAUUUCACCACCUACUUCUAUGACCUGAUGGGAUCGAAAAUGUUCUUUCAUCGAUCAAAACUAGUGUUUUCAAAAACAGAUUGAUUCAACUGCUUGGAUAGGAAAUCGGUCCGGAAAUAGGGGUUGAAUCGAUUGACUUGCGAACAAAAACAAAUCAGUUGAAUUAAGCUAAAAAAACUGGCUGAACUAGUUCUCCCCAUUUAUAUAUAUAAAUAAUAAUAGUCUUUUUUUUUUUUACUACAUGUCAAUUUUUAAUUGAUUAAUUUUUUUUCAUAUAAACUAAAAGGUUUGACUAAUGACGGAGGUACCAAAUUAUAGUCUAGGUACCAAUUUAUGGGUUAAGCCUAUUUCUAAAAUAGACUUUUGACUAAUGGCGGUAGUAACUUGGGAAAAAAAAAGUAGUUUAUGUACCACUUGUGACCAAAAAUAAGUUUAGGUACCAACAUGGGAAAAUGGGUAUAAUUUAGAUACCGAUUUAUGAGUUAAGCCUAAUAUAUUUGUCGCAUCAUUUUCUGAAAAUAACAGAACUUAAUAAAUUUAACGGUUAUUGUUUGGUGAUGAUUAAAAUUUUAAAAUUUGAAAAGUACAUGAACUAAAAAUGACCAAAUUAAAGUAUAAAGAUUAAGUCCAUAACUUUUGCAAAGUACAAGGACUAAUUGCAGAAAUUAACCUAAAUUUCAUAUGGGUCAAUUACAAAAACAAUCACUAAAUUAUUCAUUUAGUUCUAGUCUAGUCACUCAACUAUAGAGGUGCUCAUGAGCCGGGCCAGGUCAAGCCUAAGCAUGAUAUUAACGUACUUUAUGCUUGCUCAAGCUUGGCUCGGCUCGAAAUAUGAGCUUAAAAUUUCGCCUAAACUCAUCCAUAUUUGCAAAAGAUUAACCCAAGCUCAUUUUAGGCAUGCCCAUAUAAUUUUUAGUUUUUUUAAAUAUUUAUAUUAUAUUAUUUUAAUAUUUAAUAGUUUAAACAUUUUUAUUUAUUGAAAAUUUUUAUAUAGUCAUCUUAACAUUAUUUUAAUGUUUACAUUAUAGUAUUAUUAUAUAUUUAGUAUAAGUUUAUUUUUUUAAUCUGUUCUAAAUUAUAUAAUAUAAAGUAUUAUACACUUAAAAACGGGCCGGGCUGGGCUCGGGCUUUGAAUGUUCAAGCCUGAACCCAACCCAUAUUUUAAAUGGGCCUAAUUUUUUUACCCAAACCCAAUUUUCGGGCCUAAUAUUUUUACCCAGACCCUCCCAAAUUUUGGGCCGCCCUUGGGCCUUGGCAAGUAGCCCAACUCAUGAACAAGUUUACUCAACUAUUUAUUUUUUCAAUUUAGUUGGUAACCUUUUCGAAAGUAAACAUUUUAGUCACUCUCCUGUUAGUUGUUGUUAAAUGAGUGAUGGAAAGUUGAUAUGGGCUUUUUUUAUUAGUCUAAUAACAAAUUUAGCCCUCCAAUGUUUACACAUUCUAUCAAUUUAAUCCUAAAUAUAAAAAAAAAUCAACAAAUUUAGCCCUGAAUGUUAACAAAACUUGUCAUUUUAGUUCAAAUCCUAAAAAAUUUAAUAAAUUUAACUCUUAAUAUUUUCAAAAAUUAACAAUUUAGUUCUAAUUCUAAAAAUUUUAAUAUAUAUAUAUAUUUAAAAAAUAUUUUUAAUCCUCUGUCCCACCUUUUGAUUUUUUAGAUGAGCUAAAAUAAAAAAAUAUCAUUAUGUCUUUUUGUUUUAAUGCUAAAAGAGAUUAAAAAAAUGCAAAGCUAAAAUGACUUUUCGUUUGUAAAGUUAAAAAAUGCUAAAUAAAUCAUUAUGUCUUUUUAGUUUUAAUUUUUUACUUGAUUAAAAAAGAAAUAAUUAACGAAUGAAAAAUAAUUAUUCCCAAAUAAAUUUAUCAGAAUUUAUAACAAAUGAGAUUUUAGAUUUAAAUUAUGAGACACAUAUAAGUAUACACAUUUUUAUGAAAUACAAGAUUUUACUAAAAGAAAAAGCAUCCAAUUUUAAGAAUGAAAAAUAUAUGGUAAAAGCAUCCAUAACUUUUCAAUGUAAAAGUAAAAAAAGACUGUAACACCAAUGUUGUGGUAUUAUUUGUUGCCUAUAAAUACCAUUCCUAUCCUUCAUCUUCCUCUACCAACAUAACAUGGCCCCCUAUCUCUUUCUCUGCCUAUUCCUCUUCUUUCCCCAUCUUUAUGCUUCUUUUUCUUCUUCAGGAUCUCACUCCUGCUCUUCACUAAUCCAGUUCAAGAAUUCUUUUUCCAUCACUCAGACAGAGUAUGCUUCUUUCUAUUGCGAUCGUGUUGCUGGUCUUAAAUCUUAUCCCAAGACAAAUUCAUGGAAGGAGGGUACAGAUUGCUGCUCAUGGGAUGGGGUCACUUGUGACCACCUAAAUGCUCAUGUUAUUGCCCUUGACUUGAGCUGCAGUUGGCUAUAUGGCAACUUCCCUUCCAAUACCACUCUCUUCCUUCUUCCUCACCUUCAAAAACUCAACCUUGCCUACAAUGAUUUCAAUGAUUCCAAAAUUCCAUCCGAGUUCGGUCGGUUUACAAGCCUAUUCUACCUCAACCUUUCUUGUACAAGGUUUGUAGGAGAAGUCCCAUCCCAAGUCUCCCACCUGUCAAAAUUGGUUUCACUUGAUCUCUCCUCUGGGGGUUAUGUACAAACAAUUGACAAACAUGCUCUGGAGGGACUUGUUCACAACCUAACCGAGGUCAGACAUCUGUUUUUGGAUGGAAUGAACAUGUCUUCUGUUAACGCUCAUGUCUUCAUGAAUCUAUCCUCUUCUCUAAGGUCUCUCAGUCUUGCUCGUUGUGAUUUGCAAGGAAAAUUCCCAAAAAACAUUUUUGAUUUGCCAAACCUCAAUCUCCUCAACUUGGAAGGCAACCAAAACCUCAAUCUUGAUCCUUUGAAGUUCAAUCGGAGCAGCAAUCUUGAACAUUUGGAUCUGUCGUCCGUGUCCUUCUCUACAGAAUUAAUUGAUUCAGUUGAUAAUCUACAGGCCCUAAAGUACUUAGAUCUAUCAGGAAAUUCUUUCUUUCAAGGAUUGUCUGUCUCAUUCACAAAUUUAUCAUCUUUGGAGUACUUGAUUCUUAGGGGCGCAAAUUUUUGUGGAGGAUUGCCUGACUCGAUGGGGAAUCUUGUGUCCUUGAAGUUUUUAGAUCUCUCCAAUUCCAACUUAUCAGGACCGCUUCCAAGAUCACUGGGAAACCUCUUGCAACUCACUUAUUUAGACUUGAGAUCAAACAAAUUGAGUGGACAAAUUCCAUUGUCAAUUCUAAACCUAACGCAGUUGGAAUACUUGGAAAUAGCUGAAAAUUUUUUAGAAGGUUCCAUUCCAGAUGAUGUAACCGCUUUUCCUAAUCUAAUAUCUUUAGACUUAUUUGACAAUUUACUCAAUGGAACACUUCCGUCAUGGUUGUAUACUACUCCCUCAUUAAAUGGUAUAGAUCUCUCUCAAAAUCAAUUCAGUGGGCAUAUCAAAGAAUUCCAAUCCAAAUCACUAGCAUUGAUACGCUUAGAGAAUAAUAAACUCCAAGGUCCUCUUCCAUCUUCAAUAUCCCAACUUCUCAAUCUUACCUGGCUCGAUUUAUCCUCAAAUAAUCUUAGUGGUGUCGUAGAGUUUCGCAUGUUCUCAAACCUUCCAAAUCUCGAACUUCUUGACCUUUCAUAUAACAGCCUAUCCUUAACAUCUAAUACUACUUCUACUGUUAAUCAUAUAUUGCCUAAUCUUACUGGCUUAUUUUUGUCAUCUUGCAAUCUUAGUGAAUUCCCCCAAUUUUUAAAAGGGCUUAAAAGUUUGGAAAGCUUAGACCUCUCUUGCAACAAAAUUGAAGGCAAGAUUCCACAGUGGAUGCAAGAGGUGGGGAAUGGCUCUUUGACUUACUUCAAUGUAUCUCACAACUCUUUGACAGAAGUUGAGCACUUUCCAUGGAAGAAUAUUGCAGUUCUUGACUUAAGCUCCAAUUUGAUCGGUGGAAAUCUUCCGAUUCCAGCUUCGGCGGUCAAUGUCUUUCUGAUCUCAAAUAAUAAUUUCAAUGGAGAGGUCUCUUCUUUAAUCUGCAAUGCCACUUAUCUUAAAAUUCUUGAUUUGUCCCACAAUAACUUGAGUGGAACAAUUCCGCGAUGUUUUGGAAAUUUGAGCAACAGCCUUCAAUUCUUGAAUCUGAAGAAGAACAAGUUCUAUGGGACGAUUCCUCCAACAUUUGCAGAGGGAUGCCAAUUGACUAAUUUCAACUUAAAUGGAAAUCUGUUAGAAGGGCCAUUGACACCAUCCAUCCUUAAUUGUAUUGGUCUGGAAGUGCUAGAUCUUGGUAACAACAAGAUCAAUGAUACAUUUCCUCAUUGGUUGGGAAGUCUUCCACAGCUACAAGUUCUGGUAUUGAAGUCAAAUCAUAUGCAUGGGCCCUUAUGCGUCAAUAGCUCCAAGUCUAGCCCUUUUUUCUCUAAAAUCCAAAUUUUUGAUCUCUCGAGUAAUUAUUUUUCUGGACCCCUACCUGUGAGAUACAUCAACAGCUUCAAGGCUAUCAUAAAUCUGGAGAAGAUUGGGAGUACAAUGUCGUACAUGGGGGUGAAUGAUCCUGGAAUUGGUGGCUUCUAUACCUAUUCCAUUGGAAUUGUUAUGAAAGGACAAUAUAUGGAAUUGGUGAAAAUUUUCACCAUGUGGAUGAUCAUUGAUCUAUCAAACAAUCAGUUUGAAGGGGGUAUUCCAAAGGUUAUUGGGAAGCUUAACUUACUGAAAGGGCUCAACCUUUCUCAUAAUAACCUUAAUGGUGGUAUCCCCACCUCAAUGGAGAAUUUGACAAAUCUUGAAUGGUUGGACCUAUCUUCAAACACGUUGUCUGGGACGAUUCCAAAUAGAUUGGCAGAUCUGCCAUUUCUUUCGUCCUUCAAUGUUUCUGAAAAUCAACUCCAUGGUCAGAUUCCUCAAGGCAAACAGUUCAACACAUUUGGAAAUGAUUCAUAUGAAGGAAACAAGGGAUUAUGUGGAUUUCCAGUCUCGAAAGGUUGCAACAUCAUUGAGCCACCACCUCCAAAUGUGCUUGAAAAAGAUGGCUCAAAAUCAAACAUUACUUUUGGUUGGAAAGUGGUGUUGAUAGGUUACGGAUGCGGAGUGGUGUUCGGAAUGUCCGUGGGAUAUGUUGUUUUCCAAACUGGUAAGCCGAAAUGGUUGGUG
This 17013-nucleotide long non-coding RNA is filed under the name Gossypium raimondii (Peruvian cotton). Its description in RNAcentral is "long non-coding RNA (GRAI_LNC007860)". Lineage: Eukaryota; Viridiplantae; Streptophyta; Magnoliopsida; Malvales; Malvaceae. The record is from RNAcentral.